GACGACGCUGGCGGCGUGCUUAACACAUGCAAGUCGAGCGAUGAAGCACCUUCGGGUGUGAAUUAGCGGCGAACGGGUGAGGAACACGUGAGAAAUCUGCCUUCAACACUGGGAUAACUCCGGGAAACCGGGGCUAAUACCGGAUAUGAAAUCUGCGGGCAUCCGCGGAUUUGGAAAGUUUUUCGGUUGAAGAUGAUCUCGCGGCCUAUCAGCUUGUUGGUGAGGUAAUGGCUCACCAAGGCGACGACGGGUAGCCGGCCUGAGAGGGCGACCGGCCACACUGGGACUGAGACACGGCCCAGACUCCUACGGGAGGCAGCAGUGGGGAAUAUUGGGCAAUGGAGGAAACUCUGACCCAGCGACGCCGCGUGCGGGAUGAAGGCCUUCGGGUUGUAAACCGCUUUCAGCAGGGAAGAAGCGAAAGUGACGGUACCUGCAGAAGAAGCACCGGCUAACUAUGUG
This 462-nucleotide ribosomal RNA is filed under the name uncultured bacterium. RNAcentral describes it as "bacterial SSU rRNA". It matches the Rfam family "Bacterial small subunit ribosomal RNA", at positions 33 to 507 of the family's 1533-position model. The record is from RNAcentral.